GGAUGAACGCUAGCGGGAGGCCUAACACAUGCAAGCCGAGCGGUAUUUCUUCUUCGGAAGAGAGAGAGCGGCGUACGGGUGCGUAACACGUGUGCAACCUACCUUUAUCUGGGGGAUAGCCUUUCGAAAGGAAGAUUAAUACCCCAUAAUAUAUUGAAUGGCAUCAUUUGAUAUUGAAAACUCCGGUGGAUAGAGAUGGGCACGCGCAAGAUUAGAUAGUUGGUGAGGUAACGGCUCACCAAGUCUGUGAUCUUUAGGGGUCCUGAGAGGGAGAUCCCCCACACUGGUACUGAGACACGGACCAGACUCCUACGGGAGGCAGCAGUGAGGAAUAUUGGACAAUGGGUGAGAGCCUGAUCCAGCCAUCCCGCGUGAAGGAUGACGGUCCUAUGGAUUGUAAACUUCUUUUGUACAGGGAUAAACCUACUCUCGUGAGGGUAGCUGAAGGUACUGUACGAAUAAGCACCGGCUAACUCCGUGCCAGCAGCCGCGGUAAUACGGAGGGUGCAAGCGUUAUCCGGAUUUAUUGGGUUUAAAGGGUCCGUAGGCGGACCCGUAAGUCAGUGGUGAAAUCUCAUAGCUUAACUAUGAAACUGCCAUUGAUACUGCGGGUCUUGAGUAAAUUUGAAGUGGCUGGAAUAAGUAGUGUAGCGGUGAAAUGCAUAGAUAUUACUUAGAACACCAAUUGCGAAGGCAGGUCACUAAGAUUUAACUGACGCUGAUGGACGAAAGCGUGGGUAGCGAACAGGAUUAGAUACCCUGGUAGUCCACGCCGUAAACGAUGCUAACUCGUUUUUGGAUUUUCGGAUUCAGAGACCAAGCGAAAGUGAUAAGUAGCCAC
This 841-nucleotide ribosomal RNA is filed under the name Chryseobacterium sp. M_Sw_oHS_07/10_6_2(1). RNAcentral describes it as "bacterial SSU rRNA". It matches the Rfam family "Bacterial small subunit ribosomal RNA", at positions 27 to 872 of the family's 1533-position model. Lineage: Bacteria; Pseudomonadati; Bacteroidota; Flavobacteriia; Flavobacteriales; Weeksellaceae. The record is from RNAcentral.